This is a non-coding RNA of Pelobates cultripes (western spadefoot toad), 78 nucleotides long. The record is from the annotation of a GenBank genome assembly. NCBI's taxonomy places the organism in Eukaryota, Metazoa, Chordata, Amphibia, Anura, Pelobatidae.
UCUCUGUAGUUAAGUGUGUGUGUGUGUGUAUGUAUAUGUAUACAUACAUACACACACACGCACUUAACUACAGAGAUA